RNAcentral lists this ribosomal RNA (449 nucleotides) under uncultured bacterium. RNAcentral describes it as "partial 16S ribosomal RNA". It matches the Rfam family "Bacterial small subunit ribosomal RNA", at positions 30 to 523 of the family's 1533-position model. The record is from RNAcentral.
AUUGAACGCUGGCUGAAUGCUUUGCACAUGCAAGUCGAACGAAGCCUUCGGGCUUAGUGGCGCACGGGUGCGUAACGCGUGGGAAUCUGCCCUUGGGUUCGGAAUAACAGUUAGAAAUGACUGCUAACACCGGAUGAUGUCUUCGGACCAAAGAUUUAUCGCCCAAGGAUGAGCCCGCGUAGGAUUAGGUAGUUGGUGGGGUAAUGGCCCACCAAGCCGACGAUCCUUAGCUGGUCUGAGAGGAUGAUCAGCCACACUGGGACUGAGACACGGCCCAGACUCCUACGGGAGGCAGCAGUGGGGAAUAUUGGACAAUGGGCGAAAGCCUGAUCCAGCAAUGCCGCGUGAGUGAUGAAGGCCUUAGGGUUGUAAAGCUCUUUUACCAGGGAUGAUAAUGACAGUACCUGGAGAAUAAGCUCCGGCUAACUCCGUGCCAGCCGCCGCGGUAA